UAGGGAAUCUUCGGCAAUGGGGGCAACCCUGACCGAGCAACGCCGCGUGAGUGAAGAAGGUUUUCGGAUCGUAAAGCUCUGUUGUCAGUCAAGAACGGGUGUGAGAGUGGAAAGUUCACACUGUGACGGUAGCUUACCAGAAAGGGACGGCUAACUACGUGCCAGCAGCCGCGGUAAUACGUAGGUCCCGAGCGUUGUCCGGAUUUAUUGGGCGUAAAGCGAGCGCAGGCGGUUUGAUAAGUCUGAAGUUAAAGGCUGUGGCUCAACCAUAGGUCGCUUUGGAAACUGUCAAACUUGAGUGCAGAAGGGGAGAGUGGAAUUCCAUGUGUAGCGGUGAAAUGCGUAGAUAUAUGGAGGAACACCGGUGGCGAAAGCGGCUCUCUGGUCUGUAACUGACGCUGAGGCUCGAAAGCGUGGGGAGCGAACAGG
This 429-nucleotide ribosomal RNA is filed under the name bacterium. RNAcentral's name for it is "partial 16S ribosomal RNA". It matches the Rfam family "Bacterial small subunit ribosomal RNA", at positions 355 to 776 of the family's 1533-position model. The record is from RNAcentral.